RNAcentral lists this ribosomal RNA (273 nucleotides) under uncultured bacterium. RNAcentral's name for it is "partial 16S ribosomal RNA". It matches the Rfam family "Bacterial small subunit ribosomal RNA", at positions 524 to 796 of the family's 1533-position model. The record is from RNAcentral.
UACGUAGGGUCCGAGCGUUGUCCGGAGUUACUGGGCGUAAAGGGCGCGCAGGCGGCGGCGUGGGCCCGGCGUGAAAGCCCCCGGCUCAACCGGGGAGGGUCGCCGGGGACCGCGCCGCUUGAGGGCGGUAGGGGCUGGUGGAAUGCCGGGUGUAGUGGUGAAAUGCGUAGAGAUCCGGCGGAACACCCGGGGCGAAGGCGGCCAGCUGGGCCGUCCCUGACGCUGAGGCGCGAAGGCGUGGGGAGCGAACGGGAUUAGAUACCCCCGUAGUCC